GACAGAGGGUGCAAACGUUGCUCGGAAUUACUGGGCGUAAAGCGCGUGUAGGUGGAUUGGUGUGUCAGAUGUGAAAUCCCUGGGCUUAACCCAGGAACUGCACCUGAAACUACCAGUCUUGAGUGGUGGAGAGGGAAGUGGAAUUCCUGGUGUAGAGGUGAAAUUCGUAGAUAUCAGGAGGAACACCAGUGGCGAAGGCGGCUUCCUGGACACCAACUGACGCUGAGACGCGAAAGCGUGGGGAGCAAACAGG
RNAcentral lists this ribosomal RNA (253 nucleotides) under uncultured bacterium. RNAcentral describes it as "partial 16S ribosomal RNA". It matches the Rfam family "Bacterial small subunit ribosomal RNA", at positions 524 to 776 of the family's 1533-position model. The record is from RNAcentral.